CAGUGUCUCCUAUUUCCAUUGGCUUCUCAUUCUUCUUCACGUCUCCUAAACACCCAAUCCAUUCCUUCCUAUUUAGAAAAUUUACCCCAAAAAAGCAGAAGAUGAGAGACUUUUGAGAGCCACAUACUUUCUGCGUUUCAUUAGUUAUGCUCUUGUAUUUCUCAAUCCAAAAUUCGUGAAUCUGUUAAGUCUUUUUUAUACUUUUCGUGUAGGUUUUUUUUUACUUUUGUCACUGAUCAAUAUUUUGUCUUCAAGAGUUCUUACAUAAAUUUGAAUAAGUUAAGAGGAGAUUUUUUACGGAUAUUGUCCGGGAGAUAACCUUGAGAUUAUCUCUCUCCCCCUUCAGAGAAUAUAUUUUGAUUCCAAGGCUGAUUUUUAUUAUGCUUCUAAAUUCACCGUUUAUGUAAAUUGCAGUUGAAGAAAGUGUUAUAGGAGCAGCCAAAAUUUUCCUUUGGACCAAGUUAAAGGCUACCUAGAAUUGUCUGCCUAAACAAAGAUAUAUUUUUCGCCAGCUGAUGCUAUAUGUGGGAUGCAGAAUUUCUAUAUUAAAGUUGAUGAUGUCUUCCAUGUAAAUAUAAGAUGGCGUCAAGGAUAUUGAAAGCAUUGUUGUGUGUUCUUUUGAUAGAAAUUUUUUUUUUUUAUCCCACUAAGGUAUCGAUAUUUGAAUCCAUGGAGACUCGAGAGAUAAGUUCAACAUCUUUGUUUACGAUCCAACAGAACAAAAGAAAUGAAUAUGUGGUUCAAGUUUAAUACAAUGGAAGACUAUUUUUGUGAA
Quercus robur (English oak) is the source of this 775-nucleotide long non-coding RNA. RefSeq lists it as uncharacterized. NCBI's taxonomy places the organism in Eukaryota, Viridiplantae, Streptophyta, Magnoliopsida, Fagales, Fagaceae. The transcript has 3 exons. The record is from RefSeq and is a predicted model, not a curated record.